UACGUAGGGUCCGAGCGUUGUCCGGAAUUACUGGGCGUAAAGAGCUCGUAGGUGGUUUGUCGCGUUGUUCGUGAAAACUCACAGCUCAACUGUGGGCGUGCGGGCGAUACGGGCAGACUGGAGUACUGCAGGGGAGACUGGAAUUCCUGGUGUAGCGGUGGAAUGCGCAGAUAUCGGGAGGAACACCUGUGGCGAAGGCGGCCCCCUGGUUGGAUACUGACGCUGAUACGCGAAAGCGUGGGGAGCAAACAGG
This 253-nucleotide ribosomal RNA is filed under the name uncultured bacterium. Its description in RNAcentral is "partial 16S ribosomal RNA". It matches the Rfam family "Bacterial small subunit ribosomal RNA", at positions 524 to 776 of the family's 1533-position model. The record is from RNAcentral.